RNAcentral lists this transfer RNA (73 nucleotides) under Pleurocapsa sp. CCALA 161. It matches the Rfam family "tRNA". Rfam says of the family: Transfer RNA (tRNA) molecules are approximately 80 nucleotides in length. Their secondary structure includes four short double-helical elements and three loops (D, anti-codon, and T loops). Further hydrogen bonds mediate the characteristic L-shaped molecular structure. tRNAs have two regions of fundamental functional importance: the anti-codon, which is responsible for specific mRNA codon recognition, and the 3' end, to which the tRNAs corresponding amino acid is attached (by aminoacyl-tRNA synthetases). tRNAs cope with the degeneracy of the genetic code in two manners: having more than one tRNA (with a specific anti-codon) for a particular amino acid; and 'wobble' base-pairing, i.e. permitting non-standard base-pairing at the 3rd anti-codon position. Lineage: Bacteria; Bacillati; Cyanobacteriota; Cyanophyceae; Pleurocapsales; Pleurocapsaceae. The record is from Rfam by way of RNAcentral. RNAcentral also lists the same sequence under 1 other name.
GGGGCAUUAGCUCAGUUGGUAGAGUGCUUGCAUGGCAUGCAAGAUGUCAGCGGUUCGAAUCCGCUAUGCUCCA